AUACAUUAUAUAUAAAUAAAAUUAAAAUGUUAAUAAAUAAAUUAAUUAAAAUGUAAGAGUAUUAUCCGAGCUUCAGGCAUGGAAAGGUAACCUUACUAGGCGAGAGUAAAUAUUAAUAGACCCGAAAGCAGAUGAUCUUACCUUGAUAAGAUGAAUAACGAUCGAACAAGUUGAUGUAGCAAAAUCAUUUGAAUAAUUGAGGUAAGUAAGUGAAAGACAAAUCUGAUCUGCAGAUAGCUGGUUUUCUAUGAAAUAUAUGUAAGUAUAGCCUUUAUAUAAAUAUAAUAUUUUAUUAAUAAAUUAAUAAAAGGAUGGAUAGCAAUUAAUAUAUUUUCGUAAAUCGAAAAGUUCCCCUGCUUCCGCAGAAGCUG
This 371-nucleotide ribosomal RNA is filed under the name Monosporozyma unispora. RNAcentral describes it as "Kazachstania unispora partial large subunit ribosomal RNA". The stretch from base 119 to 241 matches the Rfam family "Bacterial large subunit ribosomal RNA", at positions 712 to 852 of the family's 2925-position model. The record is from RNAcentral. Lineage: Eukaryota; Fungi; Ascomycota; Saccharomycetes; Saccharomycetales; Saccharomycetaceae.